CUUUACUGUAACUUGACAUUGGAUUUUGGCUGCACUUGUGUAGGAUAGGUGGGAGGCUUUGAGACGGUACCGCCAGGUAUCGUGGAGCCGUCGUUGAAAUACCACCCUGGUGCCGACGGAGUUCUAACGCGAUCCGUGAUCCGGACCGCAGACAGUGUCUGGUGGGCAGUUUGACUGGGGCGGUCGCCUCCCAAAAUGUAACGGAGGCAUCCAAAGGUCUUCUCAGCGCGGUCGGUAAUCGCGCGUAGAGUGCAAAGGCAUAAGAAGGCUUGACUGCGAGACCGACAGGUCGAGCAGAUGGGAAACCAGGGCUUAGUGAUCCCGCGGUAUAGCGUGGAAUUGCCGUUGCUCAAUGGAUAAAAGGUA
RNAcentral lists this ribosomal RNA (366 nucleotides) under uncultured organism. Its description in RNAcentral is "bacterial LSU rRNA". It matches the Rfam family "Bacterial large subunit ribosomal RNA", at positions 2099 to 2465 of the family's 2925-position model. The record is from RNAcentral.